Molecule: ribosomal RNA, 498 nt
Filed under: uncultured bacterium
Lineage: Bacteria
Description: partial 16S ribosomal RNA
Rfam family: Bacterial small subunit ribosomal RNA
Source: RNAcentral
AUUGAACGCUGGCGGCAUGCCUUACACAUGCAAGUCGAACGGUAGCAGGUCUUCGGAUGCUGACGAGUGGCGAACGGGUGAGUAAUACAUCGGAACGUGCCUAGUAGUGGGGGAUAACUACUCGAAAGAGUGGCUAAUACCGCAUGAGAUCUACGGAUGAAAGCAGGGGAUCGCAAGACCUUGUGCUACUAGAGCGGCCGAUGGCAGAUUAGGUAGUUGGUGGGAUAAAAGCUUACCAAGCCGACGAUCUGUAGCUGGUCUGAGAGGACGAUCAGCCACACUGGAACGGAGACACGGCCCAGACUCCUACGGGAGGCAGCAGUGGGGAAUUUUGGACAAUGGGCAAAAGCCUGAUCCAGCAAUGCCGCGUGCAGGAUGAAGGCCUUCGGGUUGUAAACUGCUUUUGUACGGAACGAAAAGCCCCGGGUUAAUAUCCUGGGGUCAUGACGGUACCGUAAGAAUAAGCACCGGCUAACUACGUGCCAGCCGCCGCCGUAA